RNAcentral lists this ribosomal RNA (176 nucleotides) under Pseudaspius sachalinensis. RNAcentral's name for it is "partial 12S rRNA". The record is from RNAcentral. Lineage: Eukaryota; Metazoa; Chordata; Actinopteri; Cypriniformes; Leuciscidae.
CACCGCGGUUAAACGAGAGGCCCUAGUUGACAAUACAACGGCGUAAAGGGUGGUUAGGGAGAGCAAAACAAUAAAGCCAAAUGGCCCCUUGGCCGUCAUACGCUUCUAGGUGCCCGAAGCCCAAUAUACGAAAGUAGCUUUAGAAGAGCCCACCUGACGCCACGAAAGCUGAGGAA